This 250-nucleotide ribosomal RNA is filed under the name uncultured Pseudomonas sp. Its description in RNAcentral is "partial 16S ribosomal RNA". It matches the Rfam family "Bacterial small subunit ribosomal RNA", at positions 86 to 339 of the family's 1533-position model. Lineage: Bacteria; Pseudomonadati; Pseudomonadota; Gammaproteobacteria; Pseudomonadales; Pseudomonadaceae. The record is from RNAcentral.
CUGGAUUCAGCGGCGGACGGGUGAGUAAUGCCUAGGAAUCUGCCUGGUAGUGGGGGACAACGUUUCGAAAGGAACGCUAAUACCGCAUACGUCCUACGGGAGAAAGCAGGGGACCUUCGGGCCUUGCGCUAUCAGAUGAGCCUAGGUCGGAUUAGCUAGUUGGUGAGGUAAUGGCUCACCAAGGCGACGAUCCGUAACUGGUCUGAGAGGAUGAUCAGUCACACUGGAACUGAGACACGGUCCAGACUCC